AGCUUUGUGCAGUGGCAGUAUCGUAGCCAAUGAGGUUUAUCUGAGGCGUGAUUAUUGCUAAUUGAAAACUAUAAGGUAAAUAU
This 83-nucleotide small nuclear RNA is filed under the name Heterocephalus glaber (naked mole-rat). RNAcentral describes it as "U4 spliceosomal RNA". It matches the Rfam family "U4 spliceosomal RNA", at positions 1 to 81 of the family's 138-position model. Rfam says of the family: U4 small nuclear RNA (U4 snRNA) is a component of the major U2-dependent spliceosome. The structure of U4 snRNA from yeast and human has been reported. Lineage: Eukaryota; Metazoa; Chordata; Mammalia; Rodentia; Bathyergidae. The record is from Rfam by way of RNAcentral.